Molecule: microRNA precursor, 89 nt
Filed under: Pediculus humanus corporis (human body louse)
Lineage: Eukaryota; Metazoa; Arthropoda; Insecta; Psocodea; Pediculidae
Description: microRNA, putative
Rfam family: mir-10 microRNA precursor family (bases 8-84)
About the family: In this case the mature sequence comes from the 5' arm of the precursor.
Source: RNAcentral
GCACACUCGUAAUCUACCCUGUAGAUCCGGGCUUUUGUUGUUUUACCUCAUAAUCAGAAGCUCGUCUCUACAGGUAUCUUACGGGUGUA